Molecule: ribosomal RNA, 468 nt
Filed under: uncultured bacterium
Lineage: Bacteria
Description: partial 16S ribosomal RNA
Rfam family: Bacterial small subunit ribosomal RNA
Source: RNAcentral
GACGAACGCUGGCGGCGUGCUUAACACAUGCAAGUCGAACGGAAAGGCCCUGCUUUUGUGGGGUUCUCGAUUGGCGAACGGGUGAGUAACACGUGAGUAACCUGUCCUUGACUUUGGGAUAACUUCAGGGAACUGGGGCUAAUACCGGAUAGGAUCUCCUGCUUCAUGUUGGGGGUUGGUAAGUUUCGGCGGUUGGGGCUGUACUCGCUGCUUAUCAGCUUUUUUGUUGGGUAGUUGCUUACCCAGGCUUUGACGGGUAGCCGGCCUGAGAGGGUGGACGGCCACCUGGGGCCUGAGAUAGGGCCCAGACUCCUACGGGAGGCAGCAGUGGGGAAUAUUGCACAAUGGGCGGAAGCCUGAUGCAGCAACGCCGCGUGCGGGAUGACGGCUUUCGGGUUGUAAACAGAUUUCGCAUGUGACGAAGCGUGAGUGACGGUAAUGGGUAAAGAAGCACCGGCUAACUACGUG